UAUCUAUCUAUCUCUCUUAUACUGUCACUGAUAUCAGCAUUUCCACGAAUAUUUCGUUUCUUCAAAAACGUUCUCCAGUCUGAAGAUAGUUGGCGGUACCUUCGAUUAUGACCAUGACCCAUUAAACGAACAAAAAUAAAUAUAAUAUACAUAUAUUUGCAAAACAUAUACCAGAAGAUUGUCCGGAUAAUUAAACUGAUCGGAUUGUAAUAUAAAUGUGAUAUUCAAAGUAAAAUAAAUCUUGCUAAUAAUUGUAAUUAAUUUUGAUCGAUUAGAAUUUUGUUUGCUAUAGUAAAAAAAAAAAUUAUUCACAAAUUACAUAACACUAUUUACGAGAUGUAGAGAGAUAUGAAUAUAAUUUACAUAAUUUAAAGAUUAUUAUAUAUAUCAAAAAAUGAUUUCGUAACGUAAUGUUAGAAAAUGCAUAAGUAAUUAAAGGUAAUACUAUGCUAUACUUGUAACAAAAAUCGAGAUAGACAUUCGUUUUCGAAAUAGCUAAAAUGUAAAUUUACGAAUAUCAAAUUCAUUGUCUAAAUCUUAUGCAAAUAUCAAGAGAUUAUUCUCGAAGAAAUAUUGAAUCGAAAAUUGGGUUCGAUUUCGAGAUGGAUUAUUCGAUGGAAGAGACAUAAAACGGCGCAGCACCAGUCUCUGGAUCCUGGACCUCAGAUGCUGCGUCCAAAAAUAAAAUCUCUGCCGAAUUGGUGAUCAGAAAUAGUCCCGUUCGGAACGGAUGUCGUUGACAGAGGUUGCUCACAUUGGCCCAGCAAUGGGCAAUUAUUGGAACUCAUCCAUUGCUAAUAUUCACCCACGUGAAUCACAAUGAUGUCGCAAACUUGUUUUUUUUAAUUCGCUAACAUACGAUCUAAUUAAAAGCACCAAUAGCACUAACAUCUCGAAUAUUUGUUAUAUCCAAAUAGCAAAAAAAAUGUGGAUUUCUAUUUAGAGUAGAAUCCAUUCUACAUAUCGAGUGAUUAAUAUUUUUCCGUACAAACUUAUCUAGCCAAAUUCAAUGAAUAAGAUCUAUAAGAGUAAAAUCAAUACUCACCGACAAAUCCCGAAGUAAACGUCAGUGUAAUCAAUGGUGAAAUUUAACGUGCUCUGAUCAAACAAAUUCACUCGAAAUGGCUUCGUAAACGCACUUCUGAUAUAAUCCUUGUGCUCCUUUUUAUGGAUGUGCAAUUUUCGCUAAAAUCUCUCCUGAAGAAUAAUAUAAAUGGUAAUAAUGUAGAGCACUAAAAAAAAACUUUAUCGAAUAAAUUUGUCCACGAUCCAAAUACAGAAACGUAAGUAAAAAAAUCGUACGAAGAAAAAACGAACCAAAGCGUCUAUCGUAGGAGAACCGAAUCGUCUAUCUCCAGUCCGUGACCAAGUUCAUGAAGAGACUGUCUUCAACACCGUGUCAUUGGUCCACGGUAGGCGCCGCGACGCUAGCCGGCGCUUUUAUAUUUAACUUUUGCAUCAUUCGACGUACGAUUUAACGGCAGCCGCUUCCCCUGCUCUACCAUUACUCUUUCUUCUUCUAUCUCUUUUCUUUUUUCUUAUCCUGUUCUUACCUCUCCUCUCGACUCUUCUUCGUAACCGCCCUAUUUUCUUGUGCUUUUUACUUCGAUGAUGGCACGUGCUACGUUCGGCUUCUAAUGACGUUACUUACAUUUAUAGCUCAUCGAUAAUUUUGGUCAGCCAUUCGUUUGUAGAUGAAGAAUAAAAUUCAUUGAGAAUAUCAAUAAUUCAAUUGUUCGAGAUGAUUUGGAAAUAAGAAACCAAUUACCUUAAUAAACCAAUUUGUAAUACGAUA
Long non-coding RNA from Vespa mandarinia (Asian giant hornet), 1795 nucleotides. The record is from RefSeq and is a predicted model, not a curated record. Lineage: Eukaryota; Metazoa; Arthropoda; Insecta; Hymenoptera; Vespidae.